This 326-nucleotide ribosomal RNA is filed under the name uncultured bacterium. RNAcentral describes it as "bacterial SSU rRNA". It matches the Rfam family "Bacterial small subunit ribosomal RNA", at positions 32 to 352 of the family's 1533-position model. The record is from RNAcentral.
AAUCAACGCUGGCGGCGUGCCUAACACAUGCAAGUCGAACGAGAAAGUGGAGCAAUCCAUGAGUAAAGUGGCGACCGGGUGAGUAACACGUGACUAACCUACCCUAAAGUGGGGAAUAACCUCGGGAAACCGGGGCUAAUACCGCAUAACAUUGCGCGGCUGAAAGGCCAUGCAUUCAAAGGAGCAAUUCGCUUUAGGAGGGGGUCGCGGUUGAUUAGCUAGUUGGUGAGGUAAUGGCUCACCAAGGCGAUGAUCAAUAGCCGGCCUGAGAGGGCGCACGGCCACACUGGAACUGAAACACGGUCCAGACUCCUACGGGAGGCAGC